GUUAUUACCCAUGCGAUACACAAUUAUCCCGCGUAUAAAAUGUUUGUUUAUUUAUCGUGUGUGAGAUCGUAGUAAUAUACUGAAAAGUCGCAUUUUUGCUUUUCAUUACUUCAAGAAGAGCAAUUCGCUCAUUUCCUUUGGGUGUGCUAAGGGAGAGGAUUGGAGUAUAUACACCAAAAUGUCUUCUCUUAUUCAGUUAAAACAAUAUUGGCUCGAGUGGCAGCCUACGGACCCGGCAAACAUUAUCGAAUCCCUCAGUGCGGACACCAGCGGAUUGAACGUUAUUCCAUGCAUUCGGUCCCGAUCAGGUAAUCAUUAAUUUUUUUCUGUAUUGCAUUUAAUUAUACAUUGCGUUUGGUUUUGCGUUGCGUUGUGUUUUGCGUUGCGUUGUGUUUCGAUUUCCGUUUCUGUUUGAUAUGAAGCGAGGUUUCUUAAAAUACUACAAAUCUACAACGUGACUUUCAUGCAUAAUUCUUUCUGUAUCGCAUUCUCGGGACUUUAUAAAUCGUGUUUGGUUUUGCGUUGCGUUGCGUUUGGAUUUAUAAUUCUAUAAUUAACAGGGGAGCUAUCGUUUGGUUUAGAAACGAGCGUGGUAUACAACUGAAGUUUCAAUUUAGUAUGGGUAGAUUUAAGCAAAAAGCGAGCCUAUAUACAUCGAUGAAGCGAGCUUUCUUAAGAUACAUCAAAUCCGUUGAUGGUUUUUAAAAUCUUUUAAGUUUAGUGUAAUAUAUAAGUUACUUUUGUGUUCGAAUUUUGAUUAUAUGUUCGGCUAAUUAUUUGGUCUUUAUCUCGCUGCCAAGGCUGACGUGCGGUGCUACGGACAAGUCAGUUUGCACCCAUAGGUCUUGCAGUAAUGAUAAUACCAUCUAUCUAUAUAUUGUUCAAGAAUGAAAUGGUCACGCAAGCAUGGAGUAUGAUUUCGUGAGUUUACUUCGUGAUUAGUGUAACUCCGUUUCAACAUUCCUUGCUUAGUUUUGUGAUAUUUCCUUCACCCGAAAAGCCUCUAAAACUCUAAACCCUAACCCUAACCCUAACCCUAA
Dendronephthya gigantea is the source of this 1040-nucleotide long non-coding RNA. RefSeq lists it as uncharacterized. Lineage: Eukaryota; Metazoa; Cnidaria; Anthozoa; Malacalcyonacea; Nephtheidae. The transcript has 4 exons. The record is from RefSeq and is a predicted model, not a curated record.